Molecule: long non-coding RNA, 2041 nt
Organism: Homo sapiens (human)
Lineage: Eukaryota; Metazoa; Chordata; Mammalia; Primates; Hominidae
Source: Ensembl
AGUGUCAUCCCAGGGAAGGUGAGCGAAGCUGUCCACUAGGACUAAAUAGGGGUGGAGGUAACAGGUAGCAGGGACUCUGGCAGGAACCGCCUUUCAGACGUUUUCAGGACCGUCUGAGCGGGGCCUCCAAGUAUGGGUAGGAGACAGGCGGCCUAGGGAUUCCGGUUAGCACGUCGCGUUCUGCCGCAGCAGGGCUGGGAGCAUCCCCGGGGCAGGCGGAGGUCGGAGGUGGUGAGGCCUUUCGGCGAAGCUGAGGCCUGGAACAACCCGGUGGGAAGCCACGGAGGGGGUCCCCUAGCGGAGGCUGGGCGCGGGCCGGUGCGCGUGCGCGGCUGGAGGCUCAGCGCGCGAGCGUGCGCGUGAUUUGGCCCUGAACGGACGCCGUAGCCGAGAGGUUGGGCGGAUGUUGUGAACCGGGUCGCGGCGGCCGAGGCUCGGGCCUCCAGGACCACUGGCUGCCCAUGAGAGACGAAGGAUGGCAUCCAAGGGGGCCGGCGUGUCUUUCUCCCGCAAGAGCUGUAGGCUGACCUCAGAUGCUGAGAAAUCCAGGGUCACAGCCUCCCAAGUAGCUAGGACUACAUACGUCCGCCACCAUGCCCAGCUAAUUGUUGUAUUUUUAGUAGAGACAGGGUUUCACCGUGUUGGCCAGGCUGGUCUUGAACUCCUUACCUAAGGUGAUCCACCUGCCCCAGCUUCCCAAAGUGCUGGGAUUACAGGAGUGAGCCAUGGCACCUGGCCUAGGGUUGUUAUAUGUUUGACAUCCGUCCCAUUUGGGAGGCCUUCUCAUCAGUCAUUUUAUGCCUUUAAUGCCAUUCUAGGUAGGCAGGAAAGGGGUCAGGGCCAGUGGGCCCAUGUAGCAGAUAGGGAAACUGAGGCCCAGAGAGGACAAGCCACUUCUUCAAGAGGACCCAAACUGGAUGCCAGGCAGGCCCUCUGCCUCUGGGAUUUUGCCCAUAUGGCUCAACUGGCCUAAGUCUGCUGGCCCAAGGAAAAAUUUCAACCCAACCCUGCCCUUUCCCCCAUUCCUCUCGUGCAGGGGAGUUGGCGGGCCUGCGGCAGCAAAUAAUAGCUACGCAGGAGAAAGCCAGUCUAGACAAGGAGCUGAUGGCCCAGAAGCUGGUGCAGGCUGAGCGGGAGGCCCAGGCCUCUCUGCGGGAGCAGUGGGCAGCCCAGGAGGAGGACUUACAGUGACUCCAGCGUGAAAAGGUUCAGGCAGCUGGGGAGGGGUGGGCAGAAGUCUGAGCCAGUGUUUCAUCAUCGUUCUUGCUCUGCCUCGGUCUGUACAUCUGUGAAAUGGGACUCCCUCUCUGUUGUGGAGGCCCUGGGGACAGCUGGGAGGACUGGAGGGGUGGUGGGGAGGUUGUGGUCCUUAUUAGACAUUCAGAUACCCAGGUCCCAAAUCUGGUCCAGCCCUGGUAAUCCUGAUGCAGAGGGUCCACAACCACAUUUGGGAAAUGUUGACCUAAUGCACAGCAGGAAAGCACUUUCAUUUGCUAAGAAGUUUCCAUAUGAAGGGCCACGCAGACCUGAGCAUGUAGAAAGGCAAGGGGCCAGGGAAGUUACUAGAACACUGACUCUGGGGUUAUAUUGCCUGGGUUUGAAUCUAAUCUUGGUCGCUUACUGGUGAUGCUACCCAAGGUGUCUGUGCCUUCAUUUCCCCACCUGUAGAAAUAGGGAUAGGAUAGUGGAAGGUAUUGAGGAUGAGCUGAGACCAUCUGCAUAGAGGGCUUAACAUAGUGACUGGUACUUAGCAAAUGCUCCAUGAGUUAUGAUUGCUGGCACUGGCAUGCUCUCCAGAGUGGCCCUCAGAACAGGGGCCCUCAGCCACCAAAUCCUAGACAGGGCUUCCUCUGACAGAGGUGCAGGCUAUGACUACAUGGCUCCAGGGCAUGCCACUCACCCUGCAGUCCCCAUGGCCUUGGGUGGUGGUUAUCACGCUUCUCCAUCAGGGGGCGGUAAAGCUCUUUCCGAAAGUGCUGGGAUUCCAGGCAUGAGCUAUGGUGAAGCUCUUAAAGAAGGGGUGGCUUGGCCGGGCGUGCUG